This 253-nucleotide ribosomal RNA is filed under the name uncultured bacterium. RNAcentral's name for it is "partial 16S ribosomal RNA". It matches the Rfam family "Bacterial small subunit ribosomal RNA", at positions 524 to 776 of the family's 1533-position model. The record is from RNAcentral.
UACGAGGGGAGCUAGCGUUGUUCGGAAUUACUGGGCGUAAAGGGCGUGUAGGCGGUUCCUUAAGUCAGAUGUGAAAGCCCUAGGCUUAACCUAGGAGGUGCAUUUGAUACUGUGGAACUAGAGAUCGAGAGAGGAAAGUGGAAUUACGAGUGUAGAGGUGAAAUUCGUAGAUAUUCGUAAGAACACCAGUGGCGAAGGCGGCUCACUGGCCCAGUACUGACGCUGAGGUGCGAAAGCGUGGGGAGCAAACAGG